GUGGGGAAUAUUGGACAAUGGGCGAAAGCCUGAUCCAGCCAUGCCGCGUGAACGAUGAAGGCCUUCGGGUUGUAAAGUUCUUUAGCCGAUGAUUAUAAUGACUGUAGUCGGAAAAUAAGCCCCGGCUAACUUCGUGCCAGCAGCCGCGGUAAUACGAAGGGGGCGAGCGUUAUUCGGAAUCACUGGGCGUAAAGCGUGCGUAGGCGGCUUUGCAAGUUGGGAGUGAAAGCCCAGGGCUCAACCCUGGAAUUGCUCUCAAAACUGCAAGGCUCGAAUUCGGGAGAGGAUAGAGGAAUUGUCAGUGUAGCAGUGAAAUGCGUAGAUAUUGACAGGAACACCAGUGGCGUAAGCGGCUAUCUGGACCGAUAUUGACGCUGAGGCACGAAAGCGUGGGGAGCAAACAGGAUUAGAUACCCUAGUAGUCC
Molecule: ribosomal RNA, 425 nt
Filed under: uncultured bacterium
Lineage: Bacteria
Description: bacterial SSU rRNA
Rfam family: Bacterial small subunit ribosomal RNA
Source: RNAcentral